This 433-nucleotide ribosomal RNA is filed under the name uncultured bacterium. RNAcentral describes it as "partial 16S ribosomal RNA". It matches the Rfam family "Bacterial small subunit ribosomal RNA", at positions 29 to 507 of the family's 1533-position model. The record is from RNAcentral.
AACGAACGCUGGCGGCAGGCCUAACACAUGCAAGUCGAGCGAGGACUUCGGUCCUAGCGGCGGACGGGUGAGUAACGCGUGGGAACGUGCCCUUUGCUUCGGAAUAGCCCUGGGAAACUGGGAGUAAUACCGGAUGAGCCCUUUGGGGGAAAGAUUUAUCGGCGAAGGAUCGGCCCGCGUUGGAUUAGGUAGUUGGUGGGGUAAUGGCCUACCAAGCCGACGAUCCAUAGCUGGUUUGAGAGGAUGAUCAGCCACACUGGGACUGAGACACGGCCCAGACUCCUACGGGAGGCAGCAGUGGGGAAUCUUAGACAAUGGGGGAAGCCCUGAACUAGCCAUGCCGCGUGAGCGAUGAAGGCCUUAGAGUUGUAAAGCUCUUUCAGCUGGGAAGAUAAUGACGGUACCAGCAGAAGAAGCCCCGGCUAACUCCGUG